RNAcentral lists this ribosomal RNA (460 nucleotides) under uncultured bacterium. Its description in RNAcentral is "partial 16S ribosomal RNA". It matches the Rfam family "Bacterial small subunit ribosomal RNA", at positions 338 to 795 of the family's 1533-position model. The record is from RNAcentral.
CCUACUGGUGGCAGCAGUGAGGAAUAUUGGUCAAUGGACGAGAGUCUGAACCAGCCAAGUAGCGUGAAGGAUGACUGCCCUAUGGGUUGUAAACUUCUUUUAUAUGGGAAUAAAAUGUUCCACGUGUGGGAUUUUGUAUGUACCCUAUGAAUAAGGAUCGGCUAACUCCGUGCCAGCAGCCGCGGUAAUACGGAGGAUCCGAGCGUUAUCCGGAUUUAUUGGGUUUAAAGGGAGCGUAGGUGGAUUUUUAAGUCAGUGGUGAAAGUUUUCGGCUCAACCGUAAAAUAGCAGUUGAAACUGGCAGUCGUGAGUACAGUAGAGGUGGGCGGAAGGCGUGGUGUAGCGGUGAAAUGCUUAGAUAUCACGAAGAACUCCGAUUGCGAAGGCAGCUUACUGGACUGCAACUGACACUGAGGCUCGAAAGUGUGGGUAUCAAACAGGAUUAGAUACCCCAGUAGUC